Molecule: ribosomal RNA, 663 nt
Filed under: Escherichia coli
Lineage: Bacteria; Pseudomonadati; Pseudomonadota; Gammaproteobacteria; Enterobacterales; Enterobacteriaceae
Description: partial 23S ribosomal RNA
Rfam family: Bacterial large subunit ribosomal RNA
Source: RNAcentral
GUGGGUAGUUUGACUGGGGCGGUCUCCUCCUAAAGAGUAACGGAGGAGCACGAAGGUUGGCUAAUCCUGGUCGGACAUCAGGAGGUUAGUGCAAUGGCAUAAGCCAGCUUGACUGCGAGCGUGACGGCGCGAGCAGGUGCGAAAGCAGGUCAUAGUGAUCCGGUGGUUCUGAAUGGAAGGGCCAUCGCUCAACGGAUAAAAGGUACUCCGGGGAUAACAGGCUGAUACCGCCCAAGAGUUCAUAUCGACGGCGGUGUUUGGCACCUCGAUGUCGGCUCAUCACAUCCUGGGGCUGAAGUAGGUCCCAAGGGUAUGGCUGUUCGCCAUUUAAAGUGGUACGCGAGCUGGGUUUAGAACGUCGUGAGACAGUUCGGUCCCUAUCUGCCGUGGGCGCUGGAGAACUGAGGGGGGCUGCUCCUAGUACGAGAGGACCGGAGUGGACGCAUCACUGGUGUUCGGGUUGUCAUGCCAAUGGCACUGCUCGGUAGCUAAAUGCGGAAGAGAUAAGUGCUGAAAGCAUCUAAGCACGAAACUUGCCCCGAGAUGAGUUCUCCCUGACUCCUUGAGAGUCCUGAAGGAACGUUGAAGACGACGACGUUGAUAGGCCGGGUGUGUAAGCGCAGCGAUGCGUUGAGCUAACCGGUACUAAUGAACCGUGAGGCU